ACGGUCAUACCGGUGACUUGCCUCGAAUUGAGUUACUCGGCUCGCGCGUCGGAUGACUUGAAAGGGGUUGGCGUCGUAUAGAAAUUAGAUUGAUUCUGGUAGAAUUAAUUUAACUCGGGUGGUCAGCUACGGACGAGUCCCUUCGCCCCGGCUUAUUGAACCCGUUACCGGGGAGCCGGAGGCACUUUAAUAAAAAGUGCGCGUUUGACAAUGAUUCACAAUGAUUUGCUUUUGGGAAAUUAAUUCCAGGACGUUGACUCUUCGAACAUUGGUAAGUAUGUUUUGUGUUUAAAUGGUUUUAUUUUGUUUUGUUUAAUUUAUUUAGAGCUCAUUAUUUGUCUUUUAAAUGUCCGACAAGUGCCAUGUACAGUCUAUUUUUUUUUUUUUUUUGUGGUUUUAUGUUUUUGUUUCAGACAAAAUUAGACUAAUUACAUUAACUCGACAACUUCGCUUCUCAACGGUCCUGGAACAAAUUAGCGUCGACUUCCAGGGUUUGUAGGAAUUUACAUUUAGGGGAUUUACAUUUACCCCUUCAUUUACAUUUACCCCUCCGUGAGUCGUCACCUUAUCGCAGUGGAGGGGUUUGGGUGCCCCAAUGAUCCCAGGUGAUAUGUUGUCUGGGGCAUCAUGCCACUGGUAGGGUCACCCAUGGCAAAAAGGUCCUAGGAGAGGGGCCAGACAAAGCACGGCACACACAAGCCCCUUAUGAAAAAAAACAUAAACGGACUUCGUUUUCCCUCGCCCGGACUCGGGUAACCGGGGCCCCCCUCUGGAGCCAGGCCUGGAGGUGGGGCUCAAAGGUGAGCGUCUGGUGGCCGGGCCUUCGCCCAUGGGGCCCGGCUGGGCACAGCCCGAAAAGGAAACGUGGGUCCCCCUUCCCAUUGGCUCACCACCUGUGGGAGGGGCCAAAGGGUUCAGGUGCAGUGUAAGCUGGGCGGUGGACAAAGGCAGAGACUUUGGCGGUCCGAUCCACGGCUGCAGAAGCUGGCUCUUGGGACAUGGAAUGUCACCUCUCUGACUGCAAAGGAGCCUGAGCUGGUGUGCGAGGCAGAAAAGUCCGACUACAAGACCUUCACACUAUUGUUAUUCCUGUACUUUAUUAUUAGUGUGAAGGUGAAGCCCUGUUAAACUUUAAUUUUACCGCUUCUCCUCAACAUGAAUUGAUUAUGAUAUUAUGUUGUAGCACAGCGAGAGUCACGCACUUCAGGAAGACUUGUAGAAGGGACGCCUGCAGCAUGGAACACAAACUCCCAAACACACAUGACUUCUCCUGCUUCUUCUUAUGUUCCUGGGUCUUGCCUGUGGUUCUACAUGCAUCCAGUCAUGCAGACAGAAAACACCUUAGCCUUUAACUGUCGGAAGCUGUCCCUCUGCGAGGCCUCAUAGUAUAGUCUGUUUUCUGUUCUGGUUUUUAAAU
Molecule: long non-coding RNA, 1417 nt
Organism: Syngnathus typhle (broad-nosed pipefish)
Lineage: Eukaryota; Metazoa; Chordata; Actinopteri; Syngnathiformes; Syngnathidae
Exons: 2
Source: RefSeq, a predicted model, not a curated record